RNAcentral lists this ribosomal RNA (253 nucleotides) under uncultured prokaryote. RNAcentral's name for it is "partial 16S ribosomal RNA". It matches the Rfam family "Bacterial small subunit ribosomal RNA", at positions 525 to 777 of the family's 1533-position model. The record is from RNAcentral.
ACGUAGGCAGCAAGCGUUGUUCGGAAUUACUGGGCGUAAAGAGUGUGUAGGCGGUGCUCUAAGUUCGGUGUGAAAUCUCCCGGCUUAACUGGGAGGGUGCGCCGGAAACUGGAGUGCUCGAGGGUGGGAGAGGAAAGCGGAAUUCCUGGUGUAGCGGUGAAAUGCGUAGAUAUCAGGAGGAACACCUGCGGUGUAGACAGCUUUCUGGACCACUUCUGACGCUGAGACACGAAAGCGUGGGUAGCAAACAGGA